UCCGAGUUGACCCCGGCAGUCUCCUAUGAGUCCCCGACAUUACUCGCUGGCAACAUAGAACAAGGGUUGCGCUCGUUGCGGGACUUAACCCAACAUCUCACGACACGAGCUGACGACAGCCAUGCACCACCUGUCACCCACCAACUAAAUGACCCUGUAUCUCUACAGGUCCACGGGUGAUGUCAAACCUUGGUAAGGUUCUUCGCGUUGCGUCGAAUUAAGCAACAUGCUCCGCCGCUUGUGCGGGCCCCCGUCAAUUCCUUUGAGUUUUGGCCUUGCGGCCGUAUUCCCCAGGCGGGGCGCUUAAUGCGUUAGCUACGGCGCGGAAACCGUGGAAAGUCCCCACACCUAGCGCCCAACGUUUACGGCGUGGACUAC
Molecule: unclassified non-coding RNA, 378 nt
Filed under: Nocardiopsis exhalans
Lineage: Bacteria; Bacillati; Actinomycetota; Actinomycetes; Streptosporangiales; Nocardiopsidaceae
Description: contains 16S-23S intergenic spacer region
Source: RNAcentral